This 2422-nucleotide long non-coding RNA is filed under the name Amborella trichopoda. RNAcentral's name for it is "long non-coding RNA (ATRI_LNC000071)". Lineage: Eukaryota; Viridiplantae; Streptophyta; Magnoliopsida; Amborellales; Amborellaceae. The record is from RNAcentral.
UAACCUCAAUCUCAUGGUAAAGAACAUGAUAGCCACUGAUUUCUCACAAUAUGUACACAUAAACAUGCAUUUCUUACAUAAUUAUGAAUCAUACAUUCAUUUUCAACAUCCACAUUCAUUAUAUAACAAAAGCCCUAAAUUUCAGUGAACAAGGCAUAAGGAACUGCUACAACACAUACAUUUUCAUCACUCAUUUCAUAAGCAUAAAAUCCUUACAUCCUUGACUAUAAUGCAAUGGUGAUAGAUCCACUUACCUAAACUACAAUGGUACCCUCUUUAAUCCUCCUUUCACAACUAUCACCCACUCCAACAAUGGCUUCACUCCAAUACUCUUUCUCCAAACCUUGCCUUAGAGAGGGAGAAAAAAAGAAUGAGAUAAGGGAAGAGUGCGUGACAUGAGUGAGAGAGGGGCCUUAAGUACUCUUGAAGGUGGGGUGGCUGCCCAAGUGGCCCCAAAAGGCUUAAAAUCUGGAUAAGUAGCUUCAAAUCAGCAUGCACCCUACAAGUGGCACUUACAACACAUGCAUAUCAGAAACACAGGCGGCAACGACACAGCCGGUGAUAGUCCACUACACGCGCGACAUUAGCCCUUAUGCACGCGAUGUUCUUCUCACGACGUUACCUCUUACGCGCGGUGAUACCUCUUAUGCACGCGGCGUUCUUCACACAGCGUUACCUGUUGCACGCAGCAAUACCUCUUAUGUGUAGGGCGUUCUUCGCGCAGUGUUACCUCUUACGUGUGGCGAUACGACUUACGCGAACGACGUUCUUCGCGCGGCGUUACCUCUUAUGCUUGGCGUUCUUCGCGCGGCGUUACCUUUUGUGUGCGAUGAUACCUCUUACGCGUGGCAUUACCUCUUGAGCGCAGCGAUACCUCUUACGCCCGCGGCAUUCUUCGAUCGGCGUUACUUCUCGGAUUUCUUCACGUUGCGUUACCUCUCCUCACCCCUCUUUCUCAGCACACUCGUGCAUGAUUCCAUGACCGUGAAAACCUUGGUCCUUACAAUAACCUUGCGAUAAAAAAAAAUGGUUAGAUUAGUUAAAGGAGAGAAAGAGGUUGGAAGUAGGACGAAGUGAGGAAGACUGAACGAAAUAUAAGAUGAAACAAAAUGUUAUGAAAAGAAAACGCAACGAAAACAAAAGAGGGAAGAAAGGAGAGAGACAGAGAAGAUUAGAGAGAGAAAGAAACUUAGAGGGCUCACUAUUGGGUUUUUUGUUUGAGAGAGGGAGAACAGGGAGACGAUAGCAAAGGGCUGGGAAAAGGCAGGGAGAUCCGUAGGAAAGUUGGAGAGCCAUGAGAGAAGAGAAGUGGGACAGGAAGGAGGCAGAAAUUGUGGUGCAGUAGAGAGAAAGGGGCAAAGACAGGGCAACAGAGGUAGAGAGGGGCAGAUACAGGGCAGCAAGGGUAGAGAGGGGUUGAGACAGGGUAGCAGAGGUAGAGAGGGGCGGAGACAAGGCAGCAGAGACAGGGCAUCAGAGGUAGAGAGGGGCGGAGAUUGCUAGAGCAGGGCGACAGUGGAGGACAAAGGAAGUGCACGAGUGGUUGAUGGUUGUAGCUGCAAGGUGGCUAAGCAAGGUUGCAAAGAAGAGGGAUGGUGCGGUAGAAGAUAGGCGCAGGUGGUUUGCUGGUGAUGGUGGUGGAACUGCAGCUGGUGGUGGUUGUUGGUGGUGUUGCUGCAAUGGCAGGAAUGAGGCAGCUGCGGGAGUGGUGGUGGCGAUAGCUUGGAGCUGGUGGUAGCUGAGCGAGGGAGCAGUAGAAGGGAUGGCGAGGAAGAACGGAGGGAGAUAAAUUGACAGAGAAUGAGGCAGCGAGGUUGGAGGCGAAGAAGGCGUUAGGUGCUGAGUGGGACGGACAAGGGAGAGAGGUGGAGGUGGCUGUAGAUGAUUGUUAGCAGGGAGUUACAGAGGGAGCAGUCGUGGUCACUAUUGAGAGGGAGGAGAAGAGAGAAGAAGGAAGUAGCAGACAGCUGCUGCCAGGUGAGUGGGGACAGAGGUGGGUGCAGUCAAGGUGGAAAGAGAGACAGAGGUUGCUCGCCAGGAGGAAGGGUUGAGGUUCACGGUGAUGGGUGGUGUUCACUCACGGCGAUGGGGUUGUUACACACACGGCGUUAGGAGGUGGCUUGCACACGACGAUAGGUAAGAUGGAUGCACAUGGUGAUAGGUAGGAUGGGUGCUGGCCGGGAAAAAAGGUUGAGGCGCACGGUGAUGGGUAGCGUUCACUCAUGGCGAUGAGGUUGUUACACUCAUGCAGUGUUAAGUGGUGGCUUGCAUACGGCGAUAGGUAAGAUGGGUGCUCAGGGCAAUAAGUAAGAUGGGUGCUCACGGCGAUGGUGUGGAGAGAGGCACACGGCGAUGGGUAGAGGUUCAAGAGGGGCGAUAGCUUAUGUUCACGAGCGCGGUAAUGGGAUUAUAUUCACACGAC